This 171-nucleotide ribosomal RNA is filed under the name uncultured bacterium. Its description in RNAcentral is "partial 16S ribosomal RNA". It matches the Rfam family "Bacterial small subunit ribosomal RNA", at positions 340 to 526 of the family's 1533-position model. The record is from RNAcentral.
UACGGGAGGCAGCAGUGGGGAAUUUUCCGCAAUGGGCGAAAGCCUGACGGAGCAACGCCGCGUGAGGGAUGAAGGCCUCUGGGCUGUAAACCUCUUUUAUCAAGGAAGAAGAUCUGACGGUACUUGAUGAAUAAGCCACGGCUAAUUCCGUGCCAGCAGCCGCGGUAAUAC